AGAGACAACAGGGAUGCCCUAGUAACGGCGAGUGAAGCGGCAACAGCUCAAAUUUGAAAUCUGGCCCUCGGGUCCGAGUUGUAAUUUGUAGAGGAUGAUUUUGGUUAGGUACCUUCCGAGUUCCUUGGAACAGGACGCCUUAGAGGGUGAGAGCCCCGUACGGUUGGAUGCCGAGCCUCUGUAAAUCUCCUUCGACGAGUCGAGUAGUUUGGGAAUGCUGCUCUAAAUGGGAGGUAAAUUUCUUCUAAAGCUAAAUACCGGCCAGAGACCGAUAGCGCACAAGUAGAGUGAUCGAAAGAUGAAAAGCACUUUGAAAAGAGGGUUAAAUAGUACGUGAAAUUGUUGAAAGGGAAGGGCUUGUGACCAGACCUUUGCCUUGCGGAUCAUCCGGUGUUCUCACCGGUGCACUCCGCUUGGUUGAGGCCAGCAUCAGUUUCGGCGGCGGGAUAAAGACUUCAGGAACGUGACUCCCCCGGGAGUGUUAUAGCCUGCUGUGUAAUACCGCCGCUGGGACUGAGGACCGCGCUUCGGCUAGGAUGCUGGCAUAAUGGUCAUCAGCCACCCGUCUUGAAACACGGACCAAGGAGUCGAACAUUUAUGCGAGUUUUUGGGUGUUAAACCCUCAAGCGUAAUGAAAGUGAACGGAGGUGAGAGCCCUUACGGGUGCAUCAUCGACCGAUCCUGAUGUCUUCGGAUGGAUUUGAGUAAGAGCAUAACUGUUCGGACCCGAAAGAUGGUGAACUAUGCGUGGAUAGGGUGAAGCCAGAGGAAACUCUGGUGGAGGCUCGCAGCGGUUCUGACGUGCAAAUCGAUCGUCAAAUCUGCGCAUGGGGCGAAAGACUAAUCGAACCAUCUAGUAGCUGGU
Molecule: ribosomal RNA, 865 nt
Filed under: Microdochium seminicola
Lineage: Eukaryota; Fungi; Ascomycota; Sordariomycetes; Xylariales; Microdochiaceae
Description: eukaryotic LSU rRNA
Rfam family: Eukaryotic large subunit ribosomal RNA
Source: RNAcentral